UACGGGGGGGGCAAGCGUUGUUCGGAAUCACUGGGCGUAAAGGGCGCGUAGGUGGCGACCCAAGUCAAUGGUGAAAGCUCGAUGCUCAACAUCGAGUCGGCCACUGAUACUGGGUUGCUCGAGCACUGUAGAGGCAGAUGGAAUUCCGGGUGUAGCGGUGGAAUGCGUAGAGAUCCGGAAGAACACCGGUGGCGAAGGCGGUCUGCUGGGCAGUUGCUGACACUGAGGCGCGACAGCGUGGGGAGCAAACAGG
Molecule: ribosomal RNA, 253 nt
Filed under: uncultured bacterium
Lineage: Bacteria
Description: partial 16S ribosomal RNA
Rfam family: Bacterial small subunit ribosomal RNA
Source: RNAcentral